Molecule: ribosomal RNA, 1158 nt
Filed under: uncultured marine bacterium
Lineage: Bacteria
Description: bacterial SSU rRNA
Rfam family: Bacterial small subunit ribosomal RNA
Source: RNAcentral
GAGUUUGAUCAUGGCUCAGAACGAACGCUGGCGGCAGGCUUAACACAUGCAAGUCGAACGAUAUAGUGGCAGACGGGUGAGUAACGCGUGGGAACGUACCUUUCACUACGGAAUAGCUCUUGGAAACGAGUGGUAAUACCGUAUACGCCCUUCGGGGGAAAGAUUUAUCGGUGAAAGAUCGGCCCGCGUUAUAUUAACUAGUUGGUAGGGUAAUGGCCUACCAAGGCGACGAUCUAUAGCUGGUCUGAGAGGAUGAUCACCCACACUGGGACUGAAACACGGCCCAUACUCCUACGGGAGGCAGCAGUGGGGAAUCUUGCACAAUGGGCGAAAGCCUGAUGCAACCAUGCCGCGUGAAUGAUGAAGGCCUUAAGGUUGUAAAAUUCUUUCCCUAGGGAUGAUAAUGACAGUACCUAGUAAAGAACCCCCGGCUAACUUCAUGCCAGCAGCCGCGGUAAUACUAACGGGGCUAGCGUUGUUCGGAAUUACUGGGCGUAAAGCGCACGUAAGCGGACUUUUAACUCAGAUGUGAAAUCCCGGGGCUCAACCUCGGAACUGCAUUUGAGACUGGAAGUCUAGAGACCACGAGAGGUUAGCGGAAUACCGAGUGUAGAGGUGAAAUUCGUAUAUAUUCGGUGGAACAUCAGUGGCGAAGGCGGCUAACUGGACUGGUACUGACGCUGAGGUGCGAAGUGUGAGGAGCAAACGGAUUACAUACCCUGCUAGUCACACGUAACGAUGAUAGCUAGUUGUUGGCAGCAUGCCUGUUGUGACGCAGCUAACGCAUUAAGCUCUCCGCCUGGGGAGUACGGUAGCAAGAGUGAAAUGCAAGUAUAUUGACUGGGGCCGCACAGCUGCUGCGAGCCAUGUGACUUACUGCGAUCGAUCGCUCAGAUGCUUACAUACGCUUGACUACCGAUCACGCUGUCAUACGAUGAUUCCAUCAGUAGCUGAUCGGAUACAGAGCUGCUUGCAGUCGUCAGCUCAUGUCUGAAAUCGUAGAAUAGUCGUCACUGACGCUUAUCUAUGCUCAGCUGCAUGACGAUUGGCUGAGAACUCUAAGGUAACUGCCAGUGUAACCGAGACAGGAGUUGAAUGAUCAGUCUUCGCCCGUACGUCUAGCGUUACACUCUGGUUACAAAGGCUCGUGACAUAUCG